UACGGAGGGGGCUAGCGUUGUUCGGAAUUACUGGGCGUAAAGCGCACGUAGGCGGCUUUGUAAGUUAGAGGUGAAAGCCCAGGGCUUAACCCUGGAAUUGCCUUUAAGACUGCAUCGCUAGAAUCGUGGAGAGGUGAGUGGAAUUCCGAGUGUAGAGGUGAAAUUCGUAGAUAUUCGGAAGAACACCAGUGGCGAAGGCGGACUCACUGGACACG
This 215-nucleotide ribosomal RNA is filed under the name uncultured bacterium. Its description in RNAcentral is "partial 16S ribosomal RNA". It matches the Rfam family "Bacterial small subunit ribosomal RNA", at positions 524 to 737 of the family's 1533-position model. The record is from RNAcentral.